UUAAGCGACUAAGCGUACACGGUGGAUGCCCUGGCAGUCAGAGGCGAUGAAGGACGUGCUAAUCUGCGAUAAGCGUCGGUAAGGUGAUAUGAACCGUUAUAACCGGCGAUUUCCGAAUGGGGAAACCCAGUGUGAUUCGUCACACUAUCAUUAACUGAAUCCAUAGGUUAAUGAGGCGAACCGGGGGAACUGAAACAUCUAAGUACCCCGAGGAAAAGAAAUCAACCGAGAUUCCCCCAGUAGCGGCGAGCGAACGGGGAGCAGCCCAGAGCCUGAAUCAGUGUGUGUGUUAGUGGAAGCGUCUGGAAAGGCGCGCGAUACAGGGUGACAGCCCCGUACACAAAAAUGCACAUGCUGUGAGCUCGAUGAGUAGGGCGGGACACGUGGUAUCCUGUCUGAAUAUGGGGGGACCAUUCUCCAAGGCUAAAUACUCCUGACUGACCGAUAGUGAACCAGUACCGUGAGGGAAAGGCGAAAAGAACCCCGGCGAGGGGAGUGAAAAAGAACCUGAAACCGUGUACGUACAAGCAGUGGGAGCACAGAGCAAUCUGUGUGACUGCGUACCUUUUGUAUAAUGGGUCAGCGACUUAUAUUCUGUAGCAAGGUUAACCGAAUAGGGGAGCCGAAGGGAAACCGAGUCUUAACUGGGCGUUAAGUUGCAGGGUAUAGACCCGAAACCCGGUGAUCUAGCCAUGGGCAGGUUGAAGGUUGGGUAACACUAACUGGAGGACCGAACCGACUAAUGUUGAAAAAUUAGCGGAUGACUUGUGGCUGGGGGUGAAAGGCCAAUCAAACCGGGAGAUAGCUGGUUCUCCCCGAAAGCUAUUUAGGUAGCGCCUCGUGAAUUCAUCUCCGGGGGUAGAGCACUGUUUCGGCAAGGGGGUCAUCCCGACUUACCAACCCGAUGCAAACUGCGAAUACCGGAGAAUGUUAUCACGGGAGACACACGGCGGGUGCUAACGUCCGUCGUGAAGAGGGAAACAACCCAGACCGCCAGCUAAGGUCCCAAAGCCAUGGUUAAGUGGGAAACGAUGUGGGAAGGCCCAGACAGCCAGGAUGUUGGCUUAGAAGCAGCCAUCAUUUAAAGAAAGCGUAAUAGCUCACUGGUCGAGUCGGCCUGCGCGGAAGAUGUAACGGGGCUAAACCAUGCACCGAAGCUGCGGCAGCGACGCUGAUGCGUUGUUGGGUAGGGGAGCGUUCUGUAAGCCUGCGAAGGUGUGCUGUGAGGCAUGCUGGAGGUAUCAGAAGUGCGAAUGCUGACAUAAGUAACGAUAAAGCGGGUGAAAAGCCCGCUCGCCGGAAGACCAAGGGUUCCUGUCCAACGUUAAUCGGGGCAGGGUGAGUCGACCCCUAAGGCGAGGCCGAAAGGCGUAGUCGAUGGGAAACAGGUUAAUAUUCCUGUACUUGGUGUUACUGCGAAGGGGGACGGAGAAGGCUAUGUUGGCCGGGCGACGGUUGUCCCGGUUUAAGCGUGUAGGCUGGUUUUCCAGGCAAAUCCGGAAAAUCAAGGCUGAGGCGUGAUGACGAGGCACUACGGUGCUGAAGCAACAAAUGCCCUGCUUCCAGGAAAAGCCUCUAAGCAUCAGGUAACAUCAAAUCGUACCCCAAACCGACACAGGUGGUCAGGUAGAGAAUACCAAGGCGCUUGAGAGAACUCGGGUGAAGGAACUAGGCAAAAUGGUGCCGUAACUUCGGGAGAAGGCACGCUGAUAUGUAGGUGAAGUCCCUCGCGGAUGGAGCUGAAAUCAGUCGAAGAUACCAGCUGGCUGCAACUGUUUAUUAAAAACACAGCACUGUGCAAACACGAAAGUGGACGUAUACGGUGUGACGCCUGCCCGGUGCCGGAAGGUUAAUUGAUGGGGUCAGCGCAAGCGAAGCUCUUGAUCGAAGCCCCGGUAAACGGCGGCCGUAACUAUAACGGUCCUAAGGUAGCGAAAUUCCUUGUCGGGUAAGUUCCGACCUGCACGAAUGGCGUAAUGAUGGCCAGGCUGUCUCCACCCGAGACUCAGUGAAAUUGAACUCGCUGUGAAGAUGCAGUGUACCCGCGGCAAGACGGAAAGACCCCGUGAACCUUUACUAUAGCUUGACACUGAACAUUGAGCCUUUGAUGUGUAGGAUAGGUGGGAGGCUUUGAAGUGUGGACGCCAGUCUGCAUUGGAGCCGACCUUGAAAUACCUACCCUUUUAAUGUUUUGAUGUUCUAACGUUGACCCGUGAUCCGGGUUGCGGACAGUGUCUGGUGGGUAGUUUGACUGGGGCGGUCUCCUCCUAAAGAGUAACGGAGGAGCACGAAGGUUGGCUAAUCCUGGUCGGACAUCAGGAGGUUAGUGCAAUGGCAUAAGCCAGCUUGACUGCGAGCGUGACGGCGCGAGCAGGUGCGAAAGCAGGUCAUAGUGAUCCGGUGGUUCUGAAUGGAAGGGCCAUCGCUCAACGGAUAAAAAGGUACUCCGGGGAUAACAGGCUGAUACCGCCCAAGAGUUCAUAUCGACGGCGGUGUUUGGCACCUCGAUGUCGGCUCAUCACAUCCUGGGGCUGAAGUAGGUCCCAAGGGUAUGGCUGUUCGCCAUUUAAAGUGGUACGCGAGCUGGGUUUAGAACGUCGUGAGACAGUUCGGUCCCUAUCUGCCGUGGGCGCUGGAGAACUGAGGGGGGCUGCUCCUAGUACGAGAGGACCGGAGUGGACGCAUCACUGGUGUUCGGGUUGUCAUGCCAAUGGCACUGCCCGGUAGCUAAAUGCGGAAGAGAUAAGUGCUGAAAGCAUCUAAGCACGAAACUUGCCCCGAGAUGAGUUCUCCCUGACUCCUUGAGAGUCCUGAAGGAACGUUGAAGACGACGACGUUGAUAGGCCGGGUGUGUAAGCGCAGCGAUGCGUUGAGCUAACCGGUACUAAUGAACCGUGAGGCUUAACCUU
RNAcentral lists this ribosomal RNA (2909 nucleotides) under Escherichia coli EPEC 32/73. RNAcentral describes it as "bacterial LSU rRNA". It matches the Rfam family "Bacterial large subunit ribosomal RNA". The record is from RNAcentral. Lineage: Bacteria; Pseudomonadati; Pseudomonadota; Gammaproteobacteria; Enterobacterales; Enterobacteriaceae.